CCUACGGGUGGCAGCAGUCGAGAAUCAUUCACAAUGGGGGAAACCCUGAUGGUGCGACGCCGCGUGGGGGAAUGAAGGUCUUCGGAUUGUAAACCCCUGUCAUGUGGGAGCAAAUUAAAAAGAUAGUACCACAAGAGGAAGAGACGGCUAACUCUGUGCCAGCAGACGCGGUAAUACAGAGGUCUCAAGCGGUGUUCGGAAUCACUGGGCGUAAAGCGUGCGUAAGCUGUUUCGUAAGACCUGUGGGAAAGGGGCGGGCUGAACCCGCGGACGGCAGAUGAUACUGCGGGACUAGAGUGAGGGAGGGGGAAGCGGAAUUCGCGGUGUAGCAGUGAAAUGCGUAGAUAUCGAGAGGAACACUCGUGGCGAAGGCGGGUUCCUGGACAUUAACUGACGCUGAGGCACGAAGGCGAGGGGAGCGAAAGGGAUUAGAUACCCGUGUAGUC
This 446-nucleotide ribosomal RNA is filed under the name uncultured bacterium. Its description in RNAcentral is "partial 16S ribosomal RNA". It matches the Rfam family "Bacterial small subunit ribosomal RNA", at positions 338 to 795 of the family's 1533-position model. The record is from RNAcentral.